Molecule: ribosomal RNA, 253 nt
Filed under: uncultured bacterium
Lineage: Bacteria
Description: partial 16S ribosomal RNA
Rfam family: Bacterial small subunit ribosomal RNA
Source: RNAcentral
UACGGAGGGUGCAAGCGUUGUCCGGAUUCACUGGGUGUAAAGGGUGUGUAGGUGGAAUGGCAAGUCAGGGGUGAAAGCCUACAGCUUAACUGUAGAACUGCCUUUGAUACUGUUGUUCUUGAGUACUGGAGAAGUCACUGGAAUUCGUGGUGUAGCGGUGAAAUGCGUAGAUAUCACGAGGAACACCUGACGCGUAGGCUGGUGACUAGUCAGAUACUGACACUGAGGCACGAAAGCUUGGGGAGCACACAGG